UACGGGGGGGGUAAGCGUUGUUCGGAAUUACUGGGCGUAAAGGGCUCGUAGGCGGCCAACUAAGUCAUACGUGAAAUCCCUCAGCUUAACUGGGGAACUGCGUGUGAUACUGGAUGGCUUGGAUUUGGGAGAGGGAUGCGGAAUUCCAGGUGUAGCGGUGAAAUGCGUAGAUAUCUGGAGGAAUACCGGUGGCGAAGGCGGCAUCCUGGACCGAGAUUGACGCUGAACGGCGAAAGCUAGGGGAGCAAACGGG
Molecule: ribosomal RNA, 253 nt
Filed under: uncultured bacterium
Lineage: Bacteria
Description: partial 16S ribosomal RNA
Rfam family: Bacterial small subunit ribosomal RNA
Source: RNAcentral